UUUUAUUUUUCCCGCAAUAAAAAAUUGAUAAACUGAGUUCUCUUGCAAAAACUAUAUCUACAGAUUGCCUUAAAAUUUAUCAUUGAAGAGUUGCUCUUGAAAAUUGAAGCAUGACAUCUUGCAGUCUUCUCGUCGUUUUUCUUUUGGGUGUAAAUCUCCUUUUACUAGUUUCUGCAAGAUCUGGAAUCAAUUCUGAUGUUUCUGAAAUUCCUGUGCAUGCCGUCACUGAGGGAUUUCAGAAUAUAGAUCCAGUCAGCCCCACUAUAUAUUCCGAUUGUGAUUGUGGAACUGGCUCCUUAGCAUGUGUCAAGGUAAAUGAAAAAAAAGUUUGUCUUUGCGAAGAUGGUAGAGCUCAAAAGGGAGACACAUGCGAAGUUGUUGUUUCUGCUGGAUGGAGAACAGGCGGCAUCAUCCUAAUUGUACUUUUCAUUAUCACCCUUGUAGGAUUUGGAUUCUUCGUUUUCAAAAGCAGGCAAUAGUAAACGAAGAGAUUGCUUUGAUGGAAGAGAUUACAUUGUUUGCAUUGAAAAGAUUACUGGACAAUUAAAAAUCAUCAAAGAUAUUGAAUAUUUAUUACACAAUGAGCAUUUAUUGAAAUUUUAUGUGGUCUUCUUUCGGAAUUCGUAGUUUUUUCAGCUCUUGAAAAAAAUGUUUUUUUUUUCUUCUUUCAUUACGUACAAGGUAAUAAAAUGCAUUUAAAGCAAUAAAAUACACUUAGUUG
Molecule: long non-coding RNA, 721 nt
Organism: Parasteatoda tepidariorum (common house spider)
Lineage: Eukaryota; Metazoa; Arthropoda; Arachnida; Araneae; Theridiidae
Source: RefSeq, a predicted model, not a curated record